Molecule: ribosomal RNA, 954 nt
Filed under: Salmonella enterica
Lineage: Bacteria; Pseudomonadati; Pseudomonadota; Gammaproteobacteria; Enterobacterales; Enterobacteriaceae
Description: partial 23S ribosomal RNA
Rfam family: Bacterial large subunit ribosomal RNA
Source: RNAcentral
CCAUGGGCAGGUUGAAGGUUGGGUAACACUAACUGGAGGACCGAACCGACUAAUGUUGAAAAAUUAGCGGAUGACCUGUGGCUGGGGGUGAAAGGCCAAUCAAACCGGGAGAUAGCUGGUUCUCCCCGAAAGCUAUUUAGGUAGCGCCUCGUGAAUUCAUCUCCGGGGGUAGAGCACUGUUUCGGCUAGGGGGCCAUCCCGGCUUACCAACCCGAUGCAAACUGCGAAUACCGGAGAAUGUUAUCACGGGAGACACACGGCGGGUGCUAACGUCCGUCGUGAAGAGGGAAACAACCCAGACCGCCAGCUAAGGUCCCAAAGUCAUGGUUAAGUGGGAAACGAUGUGGGAAGGCCCAGACAGCCAGGAUGUUGGCUUAGAAGCAGCCAUCAUUUAAAGAAAGCGUAAUAGCUCACUGGUCGAGUCGGCCUGCGCGGAAGAUGUAACGGGGCUAAACCAUGCACCGAAGCUGCGGCAGCGAACGUAUCACCCAAGACAACUUUACGGAGUUGACGAUUGACGGAGCGAAGCGACGUCAAAGCGUUCAUUAAAGUCGAGUUGGCUUAGGGAUACGUUCGUUGGGUAGGGGAGCGUUCUGUAAGCCUGUGAAGGUGUGUCGUGAGGCAUGCUGGAGGUAUCAGAAGUGCGAAUGCUGACAUAAGUAACGAUAAAGCGGGUGAAAAGCCCGCUCGCCGGAAGACCAAGGGUUCCUGUCCAACGUUAAUCGGGGCAGGGUGAGUCGACCCCUAAGGCGAGGCCGAAAGGCGUAGUCGAUGGGAAACGGGUUAAUAUUCCCGUACUUGGUGUUACUGCGAAGGGGGGACGGAGAAGGCUAUGUUGGCCGGGCGACGGUUGUCCCGGUUUAAGCGUGUAGGUGUGUGUUCCAGGUAAAUCCGGUUCACUUUAACACUGAGGCGUGACGACGAGGCACUACGGUGCUGAAGCAACAAAUGCCC